Molecule: ribosomal RNA, 465 nt
Filed under: uncultured bacterium
Lineage: Bacteria
Description: partial 16S ribosomal RNA
Rfam family: Bacterial small subunit ribosomal RNA
Source: RNAcentral
GACGAACGCUGGCGGCGUGCUUAACACAUGCAAGUCGAACGGAAAGGCCCUGCUUGCAGGGUACUCGAGUGGCGAACGGGUGAGUAACACGUGGGUGAUCUGCCCUGCACCUCGGGAUAAGCCUGGGAAACUGGGUCUAAUACCGGAUAGGAGCCAUUUUUAGUGUGAUGGUUGGAAAGUUUUUUCGGUGUAGGAUGAGCUCGCGGCCUAUCAGCUUGUUGGUGGGGUAAUGGCCUACCAAGGCGGCGACGGGUAGCCGGCCUGAGAGGGUGGACGGCCACAUUGGGACUGAGAUACGGCCCAGACUCCUACGGGAGGCAGCAGUGGGGAAUAUUGCACAAUGGGCGCAAGCCUGAUGCAGCGACGCCGCGUGGGGGAUGACGGCCUUCGGGUUGUAAACUCCUUUCGCUAGGGACCAAGCUUUUUGUGACGGUACCUAGAUAAGAAGCACCGGCUAACUACGUG